GCCUGGGUGGCUCAGUCAGUUGAGCGUCUGGCUUUGGCUCAGGUCAUGAUCUUGUGGUCUGUGAGUUCGAGCCCCACGUCGGGCU
This 85-nucleotide transfer RNA is filed under the name Felis catus (domestic cat). It matches the Rfam family "tRNA". Rfam says of the family: Transfer RNA (tRNA) molecules are approximately 80 nucleotides in length. Their secondary structure includes four short double-helical elements and three loops (D, anti-codon, and T loops). The record is from Rfam by way of RNAcentral. Lineage: Eukaryota; Metazoa; Chordata; Mammalia; Carnivora; Felidae.